UUGGAGGGCAAGUCUGGUGCCAGCAGCCGCGGUAAUUCCAGCUCCAAUAGCGUAUAUUAAAGUUGUUGCAGUUAAAAAGCUCGUAGUUGAAUUUCGGGAUCAAUAUGUUGGUCGUGCCUUGGUACGUACUGGCGUCAUUGGUUUCUACCUUCUGAAGAACCUCGAUGUCAUUAAUUUGGUGUCUUGGGGAAUCAGGACUGUUACUUUGAAAAAAUUAGAGUGUUUAAAGCAGGCUCACGCUUGAAUACAUUAGCAUGGAAUAAUGAAAUAGGACGUUUGAUUCUAUUUUGUUGGUUUCUAGGAUCGACGUAAUGAUUAAUAGGGAUAGUUGGGGGCAUUAGUAUUCAAUUGUCAGAGGUGAAAUUCUUGGAUUUAUUGAAGACUAACUACUGCGAAAGCAUUUGCCAAGGAUGUUUUCAUUAAUCAAGAACGAAAGUUAGGGGAUCGAAGACGAUCAGAUACCGUCGUAGUCUUAACCAUAAACUAUGCCGACUAGGGAUCGGAUGAUGUUAAUUUUUUAAUGACUCAUUCGGCACCUUACGGGAAAC
This 548-nucleotide ribosomal RNA is filed under the name uncultured Glomus. RNAcentral describes it as "SSU rRNA". It matches the Rfam family "Eukaryotic small subunit ribosomal RNA", at positions 548 to 1098 of the family's 1831-position model. The record is from RNAcentral. Lineage: Eukaryota; Fungi; Glomeromycota; Glomeromycetes; Glomerales; Glomeraceae.